This 468-nucleotide ribosomal RNA is filed under the name uncultured bacterium. RNAcentral's name for it is "partial 16S ribosomal RNA". It matches the Rfam family "Bacterial small subunit ribosomal RNA", at positions 28 to 507 of the family's 1533-position model. The record is from RNAcentral.
GACGAACGCUGGCGGCGUGCCUAACACAUGCAAGUCGAACGGACAGGCCCUGCUUUUGUGGGUUUCUCGUGUGGCGCACGGGUGAGUAACACGUGAGUAACCUCCCCCUGACUUUGUGAUAUCUUCACGAAACUGGGGCUCUUACCGGAUAGGAUCUCUUGCUCCAUAGUGUUCGUUGGAAAGUUUCGGCGGUUGUGGAUGUAGUCGCGGCUUAUCCGCUUGUUGGUGGGGUAGUGGAUGACCAAGGCUGUGAGGGGUAGCCGGCCUGAGAGGGUGACCGGCGACAAUACGACUGAGAUACGGCGCAGACUCGUACGGGAGGCAACAGGGGAGAGUAUUGCACAGUGGGCGGGAGCGAGAUGCAACAACGCCGCGUGCGGGAUAACGGGCUUCGGGUUGUAAACCGAUUUGGACUGUGACGAAGAGUGAGUGACGGUAAUGGGUAAAGAAGCACCGGCUAACUACGUG